Molecule: ribosomal RNA, 268 nt
Filed under: uncultured bacterium
Lineage: Bacteria
Description: partial 16S ribosomal RNA
Rfam family: Bacterial small subunit ribosomal RNA
Source: RNAcentral
GCAAGUCGAACGAGAAAUUUCCGCUUCGGUGGGAAGAGUACAGUGGCGCACGGGUGAGUAACGCGUGGGUAACCUGCCUCUGAAUCUGGGAUAACCCCGUGAAAACGGGACUAAUACCGGAUAUCGUUCCUUUUGCUUUGGCUUUUGGGAUGAAAGGUGACCUGUUCAGGAAAGUUGCCGUUCGGAGAUGGGCCCGCGUUCCAUUAGCUUGUUGGUGGGGUAAUGGCCUACCAAGACUACGAUGGAUAGCUGGUCUGAGAGGAUGAUC